GCCCGGUGGCGCACGCCUGUAGUCCCAGCUACUCGGGAGGCUGAGACAGGAGGAUCGCUUGAGUCCAGGAGUUCUGGGCUGUUGUGCGCUAUGCCGAUCGGGUGUCCGCACUAAGUUCGGCAUCAAUAUGGUGACCUCCCGGGAGCGGGGGACCACCAGGUUGCCUAAGGAGGGGUGAACCGGCCCAGGUCGGAAACGGAGCAGGUCAAAACUCCCGUGCUGAUCAUUUUUCAUUUCUGAUUUUGUCAAUUUGGAUGUUCUCUUUUUGUUUUU
This 273-nucleotide signal recognition particle RNA is filed under the name Peromyscus maniculatus bairdii (prairie deer mouse). Its description in RNAcentral is "Metazoan signal recognition particle RNA (ENSPEMG00000004873.2)". It matches the Rfam family "Metazoan signal recognition particle RNA", at positions 1 to 268 of the family's 299-position model. Rfam says of the family: The signal recognition particle (SRP) is a universally conserved ribonucleoprotein. The record is from RNAcentral. Lineage: Eukaryota; Metazoa; Chordata; Mammalia; Rodentia; Cricetidae.